CCGCCGUCCAGGUAGAUCUCGAUGCGGCCCUGCACCGUGUCCACGAUCUCAGAUAGGGCGUCUAUCUGUCGAUGACAACAGAGACACUUGAUGGCGCAAUUUAUGAUGCGAAACCAGGCCGGGCCGCCAUCCAGCUGUCUCCCGCCGUGGUUGGACACGAUGAUGCCCUGGACGCCGUGUUCCACCGCCAGCUCGGCAUCCUCCUUGGUCAGGAUGCCCUUGAUGAUGAUUGGCAGCCGUGUGAUGGACUGCAGCCAGUAGAUGUCCUUCCAGCUAAUAGACGGGUCCAAAGUGUUGGCCGGGAUCCCGUACUCCUCCGGGCCCGCCGUCUCCUGAUGGGUGUGGGUUCUGUUUUUAGUCCAACAUUUGUCAAAUGGACUUUUUUGGGUGCUGUUGUUUGUUGUGGCGUGAUGUGCAUGCGCAUUUAUCCUUAUUAGACGCAGUAAUAGGCCUUAGCCUAGACUGGCUAAUUUGUGCUAGCUUCAAUGUUAGCAUUUCUUGUGUUCCUUGUUAGCCUGUGCCAAAAUAAUUGGCAAAUAUUUUGUUGUUUGUAUGUUUGUUUUACUUCAAUUACCAAUGUGAGAUUUUCUUUGUGUUGCUGAGAAAACAUGGCCCAAACGUACAUUUACCUGAAAGACACCGUCAAAGUUCUUGACCUUGAGAUGCGGCGGCAGCUUGAACUGGUUGCGGAUGUCGUUGCGCCGCUUGCCCGUGUAGGGCACGUCGACGGUCAGCACCAGGGCCUUGAAGCCCAGCGCCUCCACUCGGUGCACGAUCUGCUCCGACAGCUUGCGGUCGCGGUACACGUAGAGCUGGAACCAGCGGUAGCCGUUGGGCGCCGCCGCCACGAUCUCCUCCACCGAGCAAGUGGAGUACGUGCUGGUGAUGUAACACGUGUUUAGCACCUCGGUGGCUGUGUAACGAGAGAGGGGGGAGCAAAAAAACAAUGUUUAUUACUCUUUAGACCAAACUAGCUCCUACUAAUCAACCCUAAUUAGGCUCUCAAGUGUUUAUGUAUUGCUACCAAACAAGCAAAAAGCAUUCAAAACCAAGGCCACUUGACAAAGGAAGUAAAUGCAAUAAAAUGCUGCCAUCUAGCGGUGGGAAUCGAAAGUCCAUAGGGAUAUUCCUAUCAUGCAAGGCCACAGUCGUGUUGCGCAACAACCCACCUCUUGCUGUGGCCAUCUCACCCUCGUGCCACGCCAGACAAUGGAAGGCGGUUGGGGCGAUGCCCACCGGGAAGCUGAUCUCCAUACCCUGCACUGUAGUCUUGGUGUCACUCACAGACACGUCGCGUAGGAUGCGAGGUCUCAGGCGGAUCCUGGACAUCAAGGGAGAACGUGAAGAAGAAAGCCACCCGACAGAUGUAGCUCAAGGACUUGGUACCGCUUGUAGGCCAGCAGGUUGUCGUCUCGGGUGCAGCACUCGUCGGCUCCGGCGGCAUAGUAGUCCCACGUGGCCUUGGACAGGUGCUCCUUGGCAUAUUCCUCAAAGUCUGUCAGGCAUACCAUGGCCAUCUCGGCACACUGACCCCCCUCUCUGUGGGACAUUAGCAACCGCCCCCUCUCCGUGACAUUGUACGAUGAGAGACGAUUUUAAAAAGUUCUUCACUCACCGGUUGCAAAUGCUCAUUCUCUCUUUCGGCACACCUUCAACCCGCCUGACAGGGUCAUAACCUGUCAACAAGAGACAAAAAAAAA
This is a long non-coding RNA of Syngnathus acus (greater pipefish), 1700 nucleotides long. RefSeq lists it as uncharacterized. The transcript is spliced from 2 exons. The record is from RefSeq and is a predicted model, not a curated record. NCBI's taxonomy places the organism in Eukaryota, Metazoa, Chordata, Actinopteri, Syngnathiformes, Syngnathidae.